AAACUUAAAUGAAUUGACGGGGACCCGCACAAGCAGCGGAGCGUGUGGUUUAAUUCGUUGCUACACGAAGAACCUUACCUGGGUUUGACAUAUAGGUUGUAGGGAACUGAAAGGGACGACCUUCGGGGAGCCUAUACAGGUGUUGCAUGGCUGUCGUCAGCUCGUGUCGUGAGAUGUUCGGUUAAGUCCGCUAACGAGCGCAACCCUCGUCGUAUGUUAUAUGUGUCAUACGAGACUGCCGGUAAAAAGCCGGAGGAAGGUGAGGAUGAUGUCAAGUCAGCAUGACCUUUAUAUCCAGGGCUACACACACGCUACAAUGGUCUGUACAAUGGGUAGCCAAGCCGCGAGGCGGAGCCAAUCCUGAAAGCAGGCCUCAGUUCAGAUUGCAGGCUGCAACCCGCCUGCAUGAGGUUGGAGUUGCUAGUAAACGCAGGUCAGCCAUACUGCGUUGAAUACGUUCCCGGGGCUU
Molecule: ribosomal RNA, 469 nt
Filed under: uncultured Anaerolineaceae bacterium
Lineage: Bacteria; Bacillati; Chloroflexota; Anaerolineae; Anaerolineales; Anaerolineaceae
Description: bacterial SSU rRNA
Rfam family: Bacterial small subunit ribosomal RNA
Source: RNAcentral